AAAGUUGAAAGAAAAAAUUAACAUUUAAUUGCAAUGAAAAUUUCCCAAUGGAUUUUGUGUUUGCCGUUCAAGCAUAGUACCCAUAACUGCUGAGAUGAAAAAGGAUAUCAUCUGAAUAUUUUUGUAAAGGAUGUGAUAAGUACAUGGUAGUCCUGCAGAGUUUAAGAUCUAUUAAACAAACAUUCAGACCAGACCAGAAAGAGACAAUCAGAUGGUCCAUCAUUUUCAUCCAUGGAGCUGCAAACUUUGGUGGAUGCUAAUGAGGUAGAGGAGCCACUGUGUUGGGAGCUCUGGAAAUGGAGAAAGACAAAUGAAGACAGAAAUGAUUGUUAAAAUGCACCUGUAUCUCCAC
Long non-coding RNA from Mauremys reevesii (Reeves's turtle), 352 nucleotides. RefSeq lists it as uncharacterized. NCBI's taxonomy places the organism in Eukaryota, Metazoa, Chordata, Testudines, Geoemydidae. The transcript has 3 exons. The record is from RefSeq and is a predicted model, not a curated record.